UAUUAAGCAGUGUGCAAAGAAUCUACAAGGAAAUUACUUGAAAAAGAAAGAAAAAGAAGCAAACGCCUGUGAAAUUAACCUGGCUGAUCUAAGCCACUCCUCAUAAAGAUUCCCUUUCCAACCCUUCACCAUUUUAGUGGCCCUCCUUUGGGCACUCUCUAAUAGCUCAGUGUACUUUUUUAUGUUGUGGUGCCCAAAACUGCACAGUGGACUUGAGGGCACCACAGCACAGAGCAGGGUGGGACAAUCCCCUCCCUUGCCCUGCUGAUUCCCCCAUCUGUCCAUACAACCAGGGUUUCCCUUUCCCAGGAGCAGAAUCCAGCACUAACCCUUGUUAAAUUUCAUGUGGUUUUAAAGGGACUGAACCCCCCAUGGAACAGGUUGCUGCCCAGAGGGCAGAGGUUACAACAAACACAGGCACCGAAGUGAACACCCUGACUCAUAAAGCCCUGCUGACAUUUUCUUGCUCAAAUGCAGGGCCCAGGUGGGUUUGGAUUCUUGCUGAUCUACAAAGAAUUCCCACAUCGUGGUCAGUUUUCAGCUGGCUUAGAUAUACCAGGUUCUUCCUGCCAUCACAAUUUGGAGGCUGCUGGGUUGAAGAUCACCUCCAUCAGGUUCCAAAACCCAGUGAGUGCUGCAGCCAAGGAAAUUCUCCUUCAGAAGAUGUUUUAGAGUUGCCUUUUCCUGCAGAUAUUUGAAUUGGAUGACUCCUCAAAUUACACAGUAUCUGAGAAGCCAUGAAAUAGCUGCAGAGAACUUAAAAGAGAUCUUCAUCUGGAUGAAUUAUUAGUGAUGGGAAAAAAAAAUCUACAUCUUUGAAGGAUGUCUUACACUUCGAACUACAGUUCUCUGGCAACUUUCACCACAGAGGUCUCAUGCUUGCUUUAAUAAAUGACUGAAGUGCCUAGACA
RNAcentral lists this long non-coding RNA (911 nucleotides) under Zonotrichia albicollis (white-throated sparrow). RNAcentral describes it as "lncRNA (ENSZALG00000012307.1)". The record is from RNAcentral. Lineage: Eukaryota; Metazoa; Chordata; Aves; Passeriformes; Passerellidae.